RNAcentral lists this long non-coding RNA (2060 nucleotides) under Homo sapiens (human). RNAcentral describes it as "HSALNT0406105". Lineage: Eukaryota; Metazoa; Chordata; Mammalia; Primates; Hominidae. The record is from RNAcentral.
GGCUACUUUUUUGUAUUUUUAGUAGUGACGGGGUUUCACCAUGUUGGCCAAGCUGGUCUUGAACUCCUGACCUCAGGUAAUCUGCCUGCCUUGGCCUCCCAGAGUGCUGGGAUUAUGGGCAUGAGCCACUGCGCCUGGCCUUCUCUAUUUGUUUAAAAAGGAAUGUUUUUAAUGUUUCCGUUGAGCAUACUCAUUCUGCAGGAAUUUUGUAGAUAAUCUUUAUUAAGCUGAGGAUUUUUUUUAGCAUAGUAAGAGCUUUGAUAUUGAGUGUACUGAUUUUACUACGUACUUUUACUGCAUUUACUAAGAUCAUCAUAUAGUUUUUCCCUUCUAAUCUAUUCAUAUGAUAAAUUAUAUUUAUAGAUUUCCUAAUAAUGAACCCAACUGCAUUUCUAGGAUAAACCCAAUUUGUUUAUAAUGUAUUAUAUUUUUAUACAUUCCAGGAUUAAGUUUGUUAAUAUUUCCUCAGCAUGGUUUGCACUGACAUUCAUGAGUGAGAUUGGUCUGAACUUUUUCUUAAACUAGGAUAAAAGUAGGAAAAUAUUCCCUCCUUUUUUUUGAAACAGGGGUCUCACUUUGUUGUUUAGGCUGGUUUCAAACUCCUGGGCUCAACUGAUCCUCCCGCCUCGGCCUCCCAAAGUGCUGGGAUUACAGGCAUCCACCAUGCCAUGCCGAGGCUAUUAAAAUUUCAAGGUACUAGGGAGCAACAGUUGUUAGGGAAGCUGUGCCUUCAGGGCUCACUCAUUUCUCUGGGUUCAUGCCUUCCUUCCUUUUUGUGCUUUUUGUUGUCCAUUCAUUUUUCUCCCCUAGCAUUUAAAGUUUUCAGCUAUCUAGACUUCCAUAUGGCUAGUCUUGUUCUUUUUUUUUUUUCCUUCAUAAAGAUUCUUUCUUUGAGGAUUCCAAACAUUUAUUUUAGUCUUUUAUCUUUCUAUAAAUUCAUCUCAUCUGCAGUUACUUCAUUUUCUUUUUCUUUUUUCUUUUCUUUUUUUUUUUUUUUUUGAGGCGGAGUUUUACUCUGUCACCCAGGUUGGAGUCCAGUGGCGCAGUCUUGGCUCACUGCAACCUCAGCCUCCUGGGUUCAAGCGAUUCUCCUGCCUCAGGCUUCUGAGUUGCUGGGACUACAGGUGCCUGCCACCACGCCCGGCUAAUUUUUGUAUUUUUAGUAGAGAUGGGGUUUCAUCAUGUUGGCCAGGCUGGUCUCAAACUCCUGACCCCAGGUGAUCCGCCCACCUCAGCCUCCCAAAGUGCUGGGAUUACAGGCGUUAGCCACCACACCAGGCCUGCAGUUACUUCAUUUUCUGCUUGUUGUGAUUGGUGAAUUUGCUGCCUCUCAAUUUCAACAAGGCUUCUGAAGUUUGGGUUGCAGCCUCAUUUGCAAUGGGAGGGUUUUGUUUUUCUUUAUCCUUUCCCUUCCCUGUGUGCUCACCCUCCCUCUCCAGCAGAGCUACUCCUGCUUCCACCAGCCUUCCAGAAACCCAUCUCACAAUGAUGUCUAGGGCCCCUUCCCAUGGACACAUUGGGGACACUGCAGCCUCAGUGGCAGAUUCAGAGGGAGGUUUGUUUCAGCACCCUGUGGGCCGCCGAAAUCUGUCCUUCCCUCCCUGAACCAAGCACUUUGUCUAAGUCAGAGUCCCAGGCAGAGAUCCCCUGCAGUUUUAUUUUUUGCUUCCAUUCCCAAUAGUGGAGCGCCACCCCUGUUGCUGGCUUCAGGCAGGAGGCUGACUUGGCUUCUGUCUCUUGUGGAGCAUUUUAAUCUCAUUACCCUAAAAAAGGAAGAUUUGGUGGCUGUGUGGACCCCGUGCCCAAGUGCCCAUGGCUCCAUGGCUUCAGCUUUCCGCUCCACAGAGUUGCUCAUUUUUGAGCAUGGCUUGGUCUGUUUAGUUUUGCCUUAUGUUUUAUCUGCAAUUGCUUUGGGUAAGAUGCAGACAUUUCUGUUGAGUUAUUAGGCUUGGUAUGUAUUCCAUUGCAAAUGACAAAUUACUUUAACACUUAGUGGCUCAAAACAACAGUCAUUAUAUAUACAUACAUAUAUAUAUAUAUAUAUACACAUACAUACAUAC